CCCUUAGAUGUUCUGGGCUGCACGCGUGCUACACUGAUAUUGCCAAUAUGUCAUUCUUAUCCGAAAUGGAUUGGGUAAUCAAGUAAUGAAAUUUCAUGCUUGGAAUCGGUAAUUGCAAUUUUAUCGUGAACGAGGAAUUCCUAGUAAGCACUAGUCAUCAGCUAAUGUUGAUUAUGUCCCUGCCCUUUGUACACACCGCCCGUCGCUACUACUGAUUGGGUGUUCAAGUGAGAUGCUUAGACCCUAGUUGCAUGGUUCAUUAUUGUGCUCCGAAAGGAAAAAGUUUCAAGCUUGAGUGUCUAGAGGAAGUAAAAGUCGUAACA
Molecule: ribosomal RNA, 323 nt
Filed under: uncultured eukaryote
Lineage: Eukaryota
Description: partial 18S ribosomal RNA
Rfam family: Eukaryotic small subunit ribosomal RNA
Source: RNAcentral